This 2239-nucleotide long non-coding RNA is filed under the name Homo sapiens (human). Its description in RNAcentral is "HSALNT0249361". The record is from RNAcentral. Lineage: Eukaryota; Metazoa; Chordata; Mammalia; Primates; Hominidae.
CAUUUGUAUGCAUGAUAAUGUGCAUUGUCAAGCCAUUGAUCACAUCAUUUUAUACUUUCAGAAGGAGCCAAAGCAAUUGUAAUUGGUAUAAUAAAGCCCAGCUGGUGAGCCAAUCUCUGGAAUAACUCGGGACUAGCACAGCAGGGGCAGAGUGAAGAAUGUAUUUGAGGAAGAAAAUGAGAAUUUGAACUGAUAUGUUUCAUAGUGAUAUUAAUCACAUUCUUUGGAUAAAGGAUUUUCUGAUGAGAAAAGGAAGAAAAUCAUGAAUGACUUCACAACACAAUUUUUACCUGUAACCAGCCAAUACUUCAAAUUUUAGAUAUUAGAUGUGUGUUAGAUUGUAAGAGAUCUUGGUAAUCAUCAUGUUCAACUUCCUGCCCCAGUCAAGAUUCUGUUUCUACAUCUUCAUUGAUAGAUGCUUCCAUUGCUACUUGAAUAUCUAGGAUAGGAAGAAACAUUCUUUAUCAAAAGGAAAUUCAUUCAAUUUUAAAUCACUUACAUAUCCAUAAAGCUGUUUUAAGAGUAAACUGAAAAAUGUUAAUGCAAGCCAUUCAUUCCAUUUUAAUUUUUAGAGAAAACAUGACCUUGUUAUUUCUUUUCACCUGACCAUUCUUCCUGUCAUAUGGUAGAAACUUCCAAAUGCAUUUCUAGUUCACUCCCAGACUAUGUUAGUCACUAGAAAUAAAAGUGGAACAGAAAUUAAUAACUUUGAUACAUUUAGCAAAUGUAGUUUGAAAAUCUUAAUAGUUGUAACUACAACUAAAUCUAUAUUAAGUUUCAGCAAUAAGCCAGAAGAUUCGUCAAAGUCUUUUAUUUGUAGAAACAAUUUCAACAACAUUCUUUUCACUUUUUUCUGCAAAAAUUUACCUAUACUACGAGUCUGAUAUAUGACUCAAAGUUUGCAUCUAGAUAGAUCGUUAAAAAUGGUUGACUACACAAUAACAGAAAGGAAAGAAGAAAGGAAGGAAGGAGAGAAGGAAGGAAGGAAAUAUAAAAGUUAUAUUCAAAAUUGGAAAACUAUUUAGUUUUAAAAGGACAGAUAGUCAUAAUAUAUAAUGACCUUAAUAUAUAAAUACUUUUUCCAUGUCCAUGAAAAGAUAGAAAAACGGUCAAAGAUAUGUGGCAAGCAGCCUCUAAGAUGAUGCCUAAUAUCUCAUUUUCUGUUAUUGAUGCCCUUAUAUGAUCCUUUCCCCUUGAGUAUGAACUCUACAAGAUCACUCCCUUCUAAUGAAUAAAAUGUAGCAAAAGUGAUAGAUGUCACUUCCAAAAUUAGAUUAAAAAUUCUGCCUCGAGCACACUCUCUUACUGUCUUUCUCACCCUUGAGGAAGCCAGCUGCUAUGUCAUGUGUACCUCCAUGGCAAUACACAGAUAGCAAACGACUGAGGCCUGACAACAACCACAUGAGUGGGCUUGGGAGCAGAUUUCCUCCCCCAACAGUUCAAUCUUCAGAUUAGACAGUAUCCUUCAUGAAAACUUCACUGGAACCUCAUGAGAAAUCUUGAGCUAAAGCACCCAGAUAAGCUGCGCCCAGAAUUUUGGCCCACAGAAACUGAGAGAUAAUAAAUGUUUAAGUUGCUGAAUUUGAGGAUAAUUUGUUACAUAGCAGUAGGGGAAUCAAUCACGGAAUCCAACGUCUUCAUCAGGCAACAGAAUCUCACCCAAAUGGUCAUCAUUUUCCUUCAAUGAGAAAACCUUCUAAAGUUCUGAGUAAUGCAAUGCCAUCUCUCUCUAUACUAUCAGGCUUCCAAGCUGGGGCAUCCUUUCCCCUCCUGAUUGGUUUAUUUCAUGAGGGGUUUUCCAGGCAAAACUGAUUUUUCUAUACCUGCCUGCAAAUUUCUGAGUCUUAAUUGCUUUGUUAACUUUAUGCUUAAGCCCCAGUGAACAUUCUUCAUUAAUAUUUCAGGAAAUAAUAUUUUUCUUGUGAGUGAGAGUGAAUUAGAGGUCAGAAAUACUUAAGUUUUUUUUCUCAGAUUCAUUACUGAUUUAUUUGGUAAUUUGUUGUGUUCUAGAACCCUCUAUAUUUUAGUUUUCACUUACGAUUAGAUAAACAUUAUGAUUAUUUUAUUUUUUAAUAAUAUAAUUUUGAUAAAGGGUUUUAUUGUACAGCUGGGAAAACAUUAAAAAGAAAUGAAAUAUAGCAUCUUAUUUUUCAAAACAAAGGAUAAUAAAUCUUAUCAUGUGAAUUCUACCAGUUUUCCUUUUCUAAUAUCUUUUGAAUACAUGCAUAUUCACCACCUG